RNAcentral lists this ribosomal RNA (363 nucleotides) under uncultured bacterium. RNAcentral's name for it is "partial 16S ribosomal RNA". It matches the Rfam family "Bacterial small subunit ribosomal RNA", at positions 338 to 698 of the family's 1533-position model. The record is from RNAcentral.
CCUACGGGAGGCAGCAGUGAGGAAUAUUGGGCAAUGGACGUAAGUCUGAACCAGCAAAGUAGCGUGAGGGAAGACUGCUCUAUGGGUUGUAAACUUCUUUUAUGCGGGGAUAAAGGUGUCCACGUGUGUAUGUUUGCAAGUACCGUACGAAUAAGGACCGGCUAAUUCCGUGCCAGCAGCCGAGGUAAUACGGAGGGUCCGAGCGUUAUCCGGUUUUAUUGGGUUUAAAGGGGGCGUAGGCGGGUGGUUAAGUUUGAGGUGAAAUCCUGUGGCUCAACUUCGGGAUUGCAGCGGAUACUGGAGGGCUAGAGAGUGGGUGCGGGAGGCGGAAUGCAUGGUGUAGCAGUGAAAUGCUUAGAUAUC